This 381-nucleotide long non-coding RNA is filed under the name Helianthus annuus (common sunflower). Its description in RNAcentral is "hypothetical non coding rna". The record is from RNAcentral. Lineage: Eukaryota; Viridiplantae; Streptophyta; Magnoliopsida; Asterales; Asteraceae.
UUUAUUGAUGCUUUUAACGACUCGGAUACCUUCAAGAAAAUGAGGUUAGUAAGGACUUGAACUUAGUUAAGCAGAGCUCUUAUAAUAAGACCCGUGUAAAGAGCAUAUGUAUGUGUUUGUACUAUUUAUAUUAGCGAAUAGAUACACAAAACCACCACAUACCAAAUUUUUAAACAUUGUCAAAUACAAAUAAAAGAAAGAGUAAAAUGACAGUUUCGUCCCUGAGGAGAGGUUUGGCCAGUUUUGCAACUUUUGUCCAAAGGUUUUUUUUCCACAUCUGGGUCCAAAAUGUUUGAAAUCUUCACCUCUUCUUCCAACUCGCGGAUGGCAGCAGUGCCGCUGUUGGGAUCAACAGCUCCAAAUGUCCAAGCAUCCCGGUGA